Molecule: ribosomal RNA, 493 nt
Filed under: uncultured bacterium
Lineage: Bacteria
Description: partial 16S ribosomal RNA
Rfam family: Bacterial small subunit ribosomal RNA
Source: RNAcentral
ACGAACGCUGGCGGCGUGCUUAACACAUGCAAGUCGCACGGUUAAGCGCCUUCCUUUUUGGUGGGUGUGGAUGAGUGGCGAACGGGUGAGUAACACGUGAGUAACCUGCCCCCUUCUUCUGGAUAACCGCAUGAAAGUGUGGCUAAUACGGGAUAUUCUGGGUCUGUCGCAUGAUGGGUCUGGGAAAGAUAUUGUUUCGGUGGGGGAUGGGCUCGCGGCCUAUCAGCUUGUUGGUGGGGUGAUGGCCUACCAAGGCGGUGACGGGUAGCCGGCCUGAGAGGGUGGACGGUCACACGGGGACUGAGACACGGCACAGACUCCGACGGGAGGCAGCAGGGGGGAAUAUUGCACAAUGGGCGCAAGGCUGAUGCAGCGACGCCGCGUGAGGGAUGGAGGCCUUCGGGUUGUGAACCUCUUUCGGCAGUGAAGCAGGACUGCCUCGUUUGUGGGUGGGUUGACGGUAGCUGGAUAAGAAGCGCCGGCUAACUACGUG